This 301-nucleotide ribosomal RNA is filed under the name uncultured bacterium. RNAcentral's name for it is "partial 16S ribosomal RNA". It matches the Rfam family "Bacterial small subunit ribosomal RNA", at positions 509 to 807 of the family's 1533-position model. The record is from RNAcentral.
CAGUAGCCGCGGUAAUACGUAGGUGGCAAGCGUUGCCCGGAAUUAUUGGGCGUAAAGGGCUCGCAGGCGGUUUCUUAAGUCUGAUGUGAAAGCCCCCGGCUCAACCGGGGAGGGUCAUUGGAAACUGGGAAACUUGAGUGCAGAAGAGGAGAGUGGAAUUCCACGUGUAGCGGUGAAAUGCGUAGAGAUGUGGAGGAACACCAGUGGCGAAGGCGACUCUCUGGUCUGUAACUGACGCUGAGGAGCGAAAGCGUGGGGAGCGAACAGGAUUAGAUACCCCAGUAGUCCCUGUCUCUUAUAC